RNAcentral lists this ribosomal RNA (340 nucleotides) under uncultured Phyllobacterium sp. RNAcentral's name for it is "bacterial SSU rRNA". It matches the Rfam family "Bacterial small subunit ribosomal RNA", at positions 337 to 694 of the family's 1533-position model. Lineage: Bacteria; Pseudomonadati; Pseudomonadota; Alphaproteobacteria; Hyphomicrobiales; Phyllobacteriaceae. The record is from RNAcentral.
UCCUACGGGAGGCAGCAGUGGGGAAUAUUGGACAAUGGGCGCAAGCCUGAUCCAGCCAUGCCGCGUGAGUGAUGAAGGUCUUAGGAUUGUAAAGCUCUUUCACCGGUGAAGAUAAUGACGGUAACCGGAGAAGAAGCCCCGGCUAACUUCGUGCCAGCAGCCGCGGUAAUACGAAGGGGGCUAGCGUUGUUCGGAUUUACUGGGCGUAAAGCGCACGUAGGCGGACUUUUAAGUCAGGGGUGAAAUCCCGGGGCUCAACCCCGGAACUGCCUUUGAUACUGGAAGUCUUGAGUUCGAGAGAGGUGAGUGGAAUUGCGAGUGUAGAGGUGAAAUUCGAAGA